GGUUAAGCGACUAAGCGUACACGGUGGAUGCCUAGGCAAUCAGAGGCGAUGAAGGACGUGCUAAUCUGCGAUAAGCGUCGGUAAGGUGAUAUGAACCGUGAUAACCGACGAUUUCCGAAUGGGGAAACCCAGUGCAAUUCGUUGCACUAUCGUUUGAUGAAUACAUAGUCAAACGAAGCGAACCGGGGGAACUGAAACAUCUCAGUACCCCGAGGAAAAGAAAUCAACCGAGAUUCCCCUAGUAGCGGCGAGCGAACGGGGAGCAGCCCAGAGUCUUAAUCAGCAUUAGCAUCAGGAGAACGGUCUGGAAAG
This 312-nucleotide ribosomal RNA is filed under the name Providencia rettgeri. RNAcentral's name for it is "partial 23S ribosomal RNA". It matches the Rfam family "Bacterial large subunit ribosomal RNA", at positions 1 to 349 of the family's 2925-position model. Lineage: Bacteria; Pseudomonadati; Pseudomonadota; Gammaproteobacteria; Enterobacterales; Morganellaceae. The record is from RNAcentral.